RNAcentral lists this small nuclear RNA (117 nucleotides) under Propithecus coquereli (Coquerel's sifaka). RNAcentral describes it as "U5 spliceosomal RNA (ENSPCOG00000004438.1)". It matches the Rfam family "U5 spliceosomal RNA". Rfam says of the family: U5 RNA is a component of both types of known spliceosome. The precise function of this molecule is unknown, though it is known that the 5' loop is required for splice site selection and p220 binding, and that both the 3' stem-loop and the Sm site are important for Sm protein binding and cap methylation. The record is from Rfam by way of RNAcentral. Lineage: Eukaryota; Metazoa; Chordata; Mammalia; Primates; Indriidae.
AUACUCUGGUCUCUCUUCAAACUGAAUAAAUCUUUUGCCUUUUACUAAAGAAUUCCUUGGAGAGGGACGGUUAUGAGUUGGUAACCAAAUUUUUUGAGGUCUUGCUUAGGCAAGGCU